This 253-nucleotide ribosomal RNA is filed under the name uncultured bacterium. RNAcentral's name for it is "partial 16S ribosomal RNA". It matches the Rfam family "Bacterial small subunit ribosomal RNA", at positions 524 to 776 of the family's 1533-position model. The record is from RNAcentral.
UACGUAGGUGGCGAGCGUUGUCCGGAUUUACUGGGCGUAAAGAGCGCGCAGGCGGUCGUUCAAGUCGAGUGUGAAAGCCCCCGGCUCAACUGGGGAGGGUCACUCGAUACUGAUCGACUCGAAGGCAGGAGAGGGAAGCGGAAUUCCCGGUGUAGUGGUGAAAUGCGUAGAUAUCGGGAGGAACACCGGUGGCGAAGGCGGCGUUCUGGACUGCAACUGACACUGAAAAACGAAAGCCAGGGGAGCAAACGGG